UCCGGUUUGACACCGGCAGUCUCCUAUGAGUCCCCGCCAUUACGCGCUGGCAACAUAGAACAGGGGUUGCGCUCGUUGCGGGACUUAACCCAACAUCUCACGACACGUGCUGACGACAGCCAUGCACCACCUGUGCACGACGCCGAAGCACACCGUGUUUCCACGGCUUUUCCGUGCAUGUCAAGCCCAGGUAAGGUGGGGAUGACGUUUCCAGGUUAGG
This 220-nucleotide unclassified non-coding RNA is filed under the name uncultured Actinomycetes bacterium. Its description in RNAcentral is "uncultured actinobacterium contains 16S-23S intergenic spacer region". The record is from RNAcentral. Lineage: Bacteria; Bacillati; Actinomycetota; Actinomycetes.